Long non-coding RNA from Mustela lutreola (European mink), 460 nucleotides. RefSeq lists it as uncharacterized. The transcript has 3 exons. The record is from RefSeq and is a predicted model, not a curated record. Lineage: Eukaryota; Metazoa; Chordata; Mammalia; Carnivora; Mustelidae.
UUCUAAAGAGACUCUAACCUGUCCCCGCACUGGAUCUCCCACCCUCGCGGAGGAGCGGAGACAGCGGUGCGUGCGGACCUCGCUUCCUGUUUGAUUAACUCACGCGCCCGCCUCCUUCUUUCUCCGAGGAGCCGGGGAGCAACCGCAGCGCAGCCCCGAGAGGGGGCGAGCGGAACCCAGCCGGGCUAGCCCGACCGCGGCGCGCGUGGCUGCGCCGCCGGCUCCUCGGCGGCACCUCGCCGGCCCGCGGCGUCCAGGGAAGGGCCGCAGGACGAAUGUUGCCCGGGAAACGCGGAGCGUCCCAGGUCGGUUCCGAAGUGUUCCUCAGAAAAAAAUGUGCAUAGGCAACGAGUUUCUUGAUAAAAAGUUUCUUCAUCAAAACUACACAGAGGACUUAUGCUUCCAGAUUUCCAUUAGACAUUAGGGAUUUCUUUGAAGAACAGAAAGCAAACAUCACUUG